GCUUUCUUAGCUCAGUCGGUUAGAGCAUCUGACUGUUAAUCAGAGGGUCCCUGGUUCGAGCCCAGGAGAGAGCG
This 74-nucleotide transfer RNA is filed under the name Crocinitomicaceae bacterium. Its description in RNAcentral is "tRNA-Asn". It matches the Rfam family "tRNA". From Rfam's summary of the family: Transfer RNA (tRNA) molecules are approximately 80 nucleotides in length. Their secondary structure includes four short double-helical elements and three loops (D, anti-codon, and T loops). The record is from RNAcentral. Lineage: Bacteria; Pseudomonadati; Bacteroidota; Flavobacteriia; Flavobacteriales; Crocinitomicaceae.